UUAAUUGAAACCAAAGUAGAGGUAGCUUAUUGUUGAUAAGAAAAUUGAAUUUUAUUCCAAUUAAA
This 65-nucleotide transfer RNA is filed under the name Empoascanara defecta. RNAcentral's name for it is "tRNA-Asn". The record is from RNAcentral. Lineage: Eukaryota; Metazoa; Arthropoda; Insecta; Hemiptera; Cicadellidae.